UACGUAGGUGGCAAGCGUUGUCCGGAUUUACUGGGUGUAAAGGGCGUGCAGCCGGGAGUGCAAGUCAGAUGUGAAAUCCCGCGGCUCAACCGCGGAACUGCAUUUGAAACUGUGCUUCUUGAGUGCUGGAGAGGCAGACGGAAUCCCUAGUGUAGCGGUGAAAUGCGUAGAUAUUAGGAGGAACACCAGUGGCGAAGGCGGUCUGCUGGACAGUAACUGACGGUGAGGCGCGAAAGCGUGGGGAGCAAACAGG
Molecule: ribosomal RNA, 253 nt
Filed under: uncultured bacterium
Lineage: Bacteria
Description: partial 16S ribosomal RNA
Rfam family: Bacterial small subunit ribosomal RNA
Source: RNAcentral